AACCCUCGCCUUAGUUGCCAUCAUUAAGUUGGGCACUUUUAAGGAAACUGCCGGUGAUAAGCCGGAGGAAGUGGGGAUGACGUCAAGUCCUCAUGGCCCUUACAGGCUGGGCUACACACGUGCUACAAUGGCAUCUACAGUGGGCAGCUAUUCCGCAAGGAUGCGCUAAUCUCCAAAAGAUGUCUCAGUUCGGAUUGUCCUCUGCAACUCGAGGGCAUGAAGGCGGAAUCGCUAGUAAUCGCGGAUCAGCAUGCCGCGGUGAAUACGUUCCCAGGCCUU
This 279-nucleotide ribosomal RNA is filed under the name uncultured Porphyrobacter sp. Its description in RNAcentral is "partial 16S ribosomal RNA". It matches the Rfam family "Bacterial small subunit ribosomal RNA", at positions 1100 to 1382 of the family's 1533-position model. The record is from RNAcentral. Lineage: Bacteria; Pseudomonadati; Pseudomonadota; Alphaproteobacteria; Sphingomonadales; Erythrobacteraceae.